CUGUUCCAUUGGUCUAUAUCUCUGUUUUGGUAUCAGUACUAUGCUGUUUUGGUUACUGUAGCCUUUUGUCUAAGUGAGGACACUUGUUUGUGCUUUCUAUAAUUUGGACAGCAUGAUAAGGUAGUUUUACGAAGGAAUUUUGCAUUUCUCACAAGACACUUUAUAUAUCUAUAAGUCACAGGGUUCUCCCCACCCCCCAACCCAGCACAGGGAAUUUGAAACUAAAUAAGGAAGAAACUAAAUAAGGUGAACCAGACUCAAUUCAAGUGAAUUUCAGUUCUAGGUUUCUGCUAUACACACUUUAAUGGUGAUUUUUAACCAUUAUUUAUAAGUUAUUGAUAGUUCUGAGGUCUAGUCAAACCUUCCACAGCAUUUAACCACAAGAUGCAUUUAAGUUAGAUGUAAAAACCAGAAAUCUAACUUGAGACCGACUUUGUAUAAGACUAAUUGAAAGGUUGAUUGUAGAUGGAAAAUUCAUAAACAUUUAGUGAUAGCUGUAGAUUUCAUUUCAACAUAACACAAUGGCAAAAUUAUAAUUCUAAUUUACAUUAAUUUAUAAGAAUGUUCUGAAAGUUGCAAACAAUAUCUAGAAAAAGUGAUUGUCCCAAAGUUCAGAUCCUUCAGUAUUAGAUACAUUGUUUUUCUGUACUAGUGCAGAAAAAAAAACCAAAAGCCAUUCAUUUCCUGCUGUGACUUGUCCUUCAGAAGGUGGGAUAGUUGCAUGGAAUGACUCAUUUCCUUCACAAACUAGAAGUUGCCAUUCUAACGAGAAAUGGCAGUGUGGAAAGCGAAUUAGUAAAUGUUAAAGUAUGAGUCCUAGGUAAUGGGACCUGUUCAUUAAUUUGGACAGUGCUGUGAAUAUGUGAGUUACUCAUUUUGAAAUAUACAUUGAAUUAGAUAUGAUUAAUAUUCCAGUUGUUAAAAACAGAUAAAGAUGUCUUAACCUGACAUAUUUCCUUUCCAUGAGUUUUAAAUAAGAACCUGAGAUCAUUUUACUGGGACUAUUAUAGAAGUAAUUUGUUUACGUGAUGACUCUGUUCAUGAACCUAAUAAGCUUGCUUUCUUGGUCAUUUUUUAGAGAAGGUUUUUAUUUGAUUGUUGAAUCAUAAAGAGACAGGACUCUUGCAUUCCAGCUUCAUCCUCUGGCUUUUCUGUGAUUUUUCCUUGUUCCUCAGUCUCUUCAUACAUAAAAGAAAUACAUCAGCAGUGGCUCUGAGAUGCAAAAAUAAAUAUAAUUGUCAAUAUUUAAAUUGUAAAACUUUAGUAGAUUAUUCUUAUUUUAAUUAAAGGAGGAAAAUAGACCCAAAAUGAUUUUAGGAGCUGAUUCAGAUAAAUUGGUCAGGUGGUUUAGAAUUUAAAUUCAUGGUUCUUUUCUACUGAAUUUAUUGGAUAAUAAUUUAUGCAUAUACAGAUAAAUUUGGUGCACUUUAAAAUGUGCUUAAAAAAUCUUGUGUUAAGAUCCUCUUCUUCCUGAAUCAGAGGUCCACAGGCCUAUUUUGGCCCACAGAGAUGUUUUGUUUGCUCAUAGAAAGUGUUGAUUUUUCUUUUAAGUUAUCAACCUAUAAAAAUACAGAUUUCACCUAAAAAAUAGAUUUCCAAUUACGCUUAAAGAAUCAUAAGAUCCAGCAAUGUCAGGUCUUUAUCUCUACAUAGCAACUGCUGCUAGUACUGAAUAACUUUCCCCUUUCAAUGGUGCAUGUGCCUCAGCACCAACAGUCUCUGGGAUGAGACCCCAGUACUACAAAUCAGGGUUUUCUCUGUUGACCUAGAUGAGAACAUUCUGACAUUGAGAAUAAACAGUUUAAGCAUCAUUAUUAAGUGGUAUUUGAAUUCAGAGAUUAGGCACAUGAACAAAACCUAGGGUACUGCUACCUUGAACUUCUUUUAGUAAGAAGCAAGUUCUUCUAACUUUCCUCUACUUUCUUUUAAGUUUGUCCAAAGGUGCAUUUGCAAAGGGAUUACAAAGACCAUGGCAGAACCAGCCCACCCCUCCCUAACACACACAUCACACGCUUAUUCCACCAGCUCCUCUAAUUAAAGGUCUCGCACAGCUCAUACGACUCCCAAAGCCAAUUAAACAAUGCUCACCCUUGUACCUCACAGUAGGUUGGGGAGUAGCUUGGAAAACGCUGUGAUUGAUAUGAAAAGUAGUAACGUAUUUUUAAGCACUUUUAGCACUGUUGUUACUCUAUGAGGCACAAGCUUUCAACAUAGUGGCCUUUUAUUUUCUGCGCUUUUGGAGUGUGAGAACACCAUAGAGGCUACACGCACCACGGCGUUUCUGUGGGCUGGGAAUCAAGGCCUGGAGAAGGGGGUGGGCAGCCGGGAAGUGACAGUGCAGGGAGGGGGAGUUGGCAGCUGUCAAAUGAAUGCAUUUCCCUCUUCUAUUAUCCUGCUAUCCGAAUGCUCCAUCUAUUCAUAUUCAUGGUUUCCAUCACUGUGCAUAGCACCAAGGCCAGCUUCCUUUUCACAUUUCAUCUUCUUGUCUUUCUUGGAGUUUCAUUUUGAUUUACUAAAAAUCAGUGGACUGCUUCUAAACAAGGAUCAGCUAAUAGAAACUGGAGGUAGUUGGUAGAGAAUCUACUGGGAGGAAUUUAUUUACAUACAAGAAGUUAAAGCCAAAUGUAUGUGAUCAAGAAUGGAAAACCAACUCUUCUGGAGGAAAACAUAAAUGUCUGCUGGGGAACAUGUAUUUGCUUUGGGAACCCUUGGGACCAAGAAAAUAAAAUGCUUAAUAACAACAGCAUAAUGAGGCUGUAGGAGUGCUGAAAGCAUUAAUUAAUGAACAAUUUUAAAGUUCUUCAGAAGCCCAGGGAGAGUUUAGAGUGGAUGGAUUCCUUUACUGACAAAGACUAAUAUGUUGGACUGCUUAGGCUGACUUGAUUAAACCAGAGCUAAAUUUUAAAACACACCUAAUUACAGUUUCCCUAUUUUAAAUGGAAUGCCUCAUAUUUAUUGGAGUCCUAUUAUUCUAUUGAGAUGAACCACGGUUAACCACAUCCAUAUUUUUUAAUAUUUAGGCUGUAGAACUAAACUUUUACAUGUACCUGGAGAAGUUUAGAAGUUGACAUUAUACUGUCCUUACAUGUGACGUCCCACUUUGCAACAAAAGAGCCAUAGGAAGGCAGGCCCUGAACUGACCAAUCGAAUAACCUGAGAGUCUGAUCAGAAGAAUGCAUGCUAUGUAAAUAGAUCACGUUUGGGCAAGUGCUUCCUAUUGCUGUCCAUUGAAACUUAACACUUUCAGUGGUCCUUCUGAGUUUAACAGGUUUCUAUCUCCUGGCAAUAAAACCAGACUUUGCUAUA
This 3306-nucleotide long non-coding RNA is filed under the name Homo sapiens (human). RNAcentral describes it as "HSALNT0351511". Lineage: Eukaryota; Metazoa; Chordata; Mammalia; Primates; Hominidae. The record is from RNAcentral.